AAUAUAGUGCCUGAUUUAAAAGGAUAGCUUUGAUAGAGCUAAUAAUGUAGGAUCUCCUACCUAUAUUA
Molecule: transfer RNA, 68 nt
Filed under: Segonzacia mesatlantica
Lineage: Eukaryota; Metazoa; Arthropoda; Malacostraca; Decapoda; Bythograeidae
Description: tRNA-Ile
Source: RNAcentral